GAGCUUGACAUCCCACGAACCUGCCAGAGAUGGCGGGGUGCCUUUCGGGGAGCCCGGAGACAGGUGGUGCAUGGCUGUCGUCAGCUCGUGUCGUGAGAUGUUGGAUUAAGUCCCGCAACGAGCGCAACCCUUGCCCGUAGUUACCAGCAGGUGAGGCUGGGGACUCUACGGGGACUGCCGGUGUGAAGCCGGAGGAAGGUGGGGAUGACGUCAAGUCCUCAUGGCCCUGACGCCCAGGGCUACACACGUGCUACAAUGGGCCGGACAACGGGAGGCGACCCUGCGAGGGGGAGCAAAUCCCAAAAAGCCGGCCUCAGUUCGGAUUGCAGUCUGCAACUCGACUGCAUGAAGGUGGAAUCGCUAGUAAUCGCGCAUCAGCACGGCGCGGUGAAUACGUUCCCGGGCCUUGUACACA
RNAcentral lists this ribosomal RNA (415 nucleotides) under uncultured bacterium. RNAcentral describes it as "bacterial SSU rRNA". It matches the Rfam family "Bacterial small subunit ribosomal RNA", at positions 977 to 1389 of the family's 1533-position model. The record is from RNAcentral.